AAUGGCAGAAUAAAUUUAAAUGUAUUAACUUUAGAAGUUAAAUAUAGAAAUGUGGUAGUUUCUUU
RNAcentral lists this transfer RNA (65 nucleotides) under Bipalium kewense. RNAcentral's name for it is "tRNA-Leu". Lineage: Eukaryota; Metazoa; Platyhelminthes; Tricladida; Geoplanidae. The record is from RNAcentral.